AUGCUUAGACAGAAUAAGGGCUCAUCAAGUGCAGCUCCAGCUAAAUCCAAGGAUCCCUCAAAUCAGGCACCCCCUACUCAGACGGUGCCUGCUACUCCUGCCUCUCAAGCACCAGCCACACCAGCACCUCAAGCAGUGGCUGCGCCAUCACCUAUUGUACCUGUCAGUGCUCCUGGUACAGCUGCCACCGCCUCCCCAGCUCCUGCUGUUGCUGUCUCCACUGAAGCAGAAACUUAUGGUCAGGCUGCUUCAAACCUUGUUGCGGGAGGCGCCCUAGAGGCAACAAUUCAGUCAAUUCUUGAAAUGGGCGGUGGACAUGGGACAGAGACACUGAAUUGCUGCUCGUGA
RNAcentral lists this ribosomal RNA (348 nucleotides) under Triticum aestivum (bread wheat). Its description in RNAcentral is "partial small subunit ribosomal RNA". Lineage: Eukaryota; Viridiplantae; Streptophyta; Magnoliopsida; Poales; Poaceae. The record is from RNAcentral.